UUCUGGAAGAGACUCUCUCUGCCUGGGUUUAGACUGCCAUCCUUGGUCUCACAGCAGGGGAGCAGGAUGAUCAGGUUAUUCUUUAGUGAGAGUACUCCAGCAGAAGAAAUAGGGGCCUGAAAACAGCAACCCUGAUGAGGAGGUAGCUGCCAGCAGGGCAAAGGAAAAGGACACUAACUUUGAGCGCUUGUCUCAGAUCUCAUGUCAAUCCUGCAAGAUAUUGGAAUAUUCUUCAUAUAAUGCAGUAUCACUUCUGUAUGAAGCCACGUGUAACUUGUCCCCCUCCUUUCCAUCACGAGAACUACUGAAGAUGUAAACCAAAUCCAGCAGGGAAACCAGUGACAUUUGUGAACAGUAGACGGGAUUAAAGGAGCUGGACACACUCUUUCUUCAACAUCUGCCAUGAUAUGAUUUCACAAGCAAGAAAUGUGCCAAGGCUUCUACCCAAGAAAAUAACCUACAUGGACAUGUCAUGGGGGCUCCCCUGCCCUCAAGCUCCCAUGGGGGUUCCGCCAAUGAAGAUAAGAAGAAAGAGAGGUUGAGGUGGAGGGACUGAACCUCAAUCAGAUGGAGUGAAUGCUUCAGGUCACACAGCGAAAGAGUCCUGGAUGAAAACCCAGUGCUACCAGAAUGCAGUCUUUUCUCUCCACCACACUGUACCUCCCACAGCCCUCUUUGUUUUAGAGCAAGGCCAUUUCAGGGAAGCCUUGCCAUACCUGAUCUCCACAGGCAGCUUUCACCAACUGUGCUUCAAGUGCAUGGUCAUUCCAGAGCCUGGACGGAAUGGGCACUCCUGGUGCUAUGGCCUCACUGCCUACAAAGCUAAGUGCACAGGUAGGGACAGGGUGCUUCCUUUGCUCCUGUGGUGAUCUGGAGACACAGAUCAACCCAGUGUGAAUGGAACCAGGCAGAGCUGCCCACCAAAAUAAAAGUGUGGCCAAAACCCAGCCCUGCUUGUGGGUGAACAAAAAACAUGCCCUCCAGCCACAACUGCAUUCACAGAGCUUCCGGGGAUGGCUCUUACCUGGGGC
Gorilla gorilla gorilla (western lowland gorilla) is the source of this 1031-nucleotide long non-coding RNA. RefSeq lists it as uncharacterized. NCBI's taxonomy places the organism in Eukaryota, Metazoa, Chordata, Mammalia, Primates, Hominidae. The record is from RefSeq and is a predicted model, not a curated record. The transcript has 5 exons.